RNAcentral lists this ribosomal RNA (3005 nucleotides) under human oral metagenome. RNAcentral describes it as "bacterial LSU rRNA". It matches the Rfam family "Bacterial large subunit ribosomal RNA". The record is from RNAcentral.
UGAAGAUAUUUAGGGGCACACGGUGGAUGCCUUGGCAUGGGAAGCCGACGAAGGACGUGGCAAGCUGCGAAAAGCUGCGGAGAGGCGCAAACAGCCUUUGACCCGCAGAUGUCCGAUACGGGGAAACCUGACCUGGGUUAUGCCAGGUCGGCCCAUCCUGAAUCAAAUAGGGAUGGAUGCAGGUAACCCGGGGAACUGAAACAUCUCAGUACCCGGAGGAAGAGAAAUCAACCGAGAUUGCGCGAGUAGUGGCGAGCGAAAGCGCACAAAAGCCCAAACCGCAUGUGAGCGUUAUACCCUCGGGGGGAUGCCACAGCGGGGUUGUUGGGCAUAUGAGUCUUAAAGCCCGAGUCUUUAAGCGGAGUAUGUGUCAUCGUUAUAGCAAAACGGCAUGGGAAGGCCGGCCAAAGAGGGUGAAAGCCCCGUAUGCGAAAUAGCGAUACACGCCGAGUCAUAUGACCCAGAGUAUCGCCGGGCACGUGAAACCCGGCGAGAAGCAGGGGGGACCACCCUCCAAGGCUCAAUACUCUCCCAUGACCGAUAGCGAAUUAGUACCGUGAGGGAAAGGUGAAAAGCACCCCGAGAGGGGAGUGAAAUAGUACCUGAAACCGUGUGCCCACAAGCAGUCGGAGCAGAGCAUUUUGCUCUGUGACGGCGUGCCUUUUGUAGAAUGAGCCAGCGAGUUGCCGUAAUGCGGCGAGGUUAAGCUUUAUAAGCGAGCCGCAGCGAAAGCGAGUCUUUAAACGGGCGCUUUUAGUCGUAUAUGGCAGACGCGAAGCCGGGUGAGCUAUCCAUGGGCAGGCUGAAGCGGGGGUAAGACCCCGUGGAGGGCCGAACCCACUUCGGUUGAAAACGGAGGGGAUGACCUGUGGAUAGGGGUGAAAGGCCAAUCAAACCCGGAGAUAUCUCGUUCUCCCCGAAAUAGCUUUAGGGCUAGCCUCGGGCAUUUCCCCGGCGCAGGUAGAGCACCGGAUCCCAAAGGGGGCUUCACCGCCUGCCGAUGGGAGCCGAACUCCGAAUGGUGUCGGGAUAAAAAGCCCGGGAGUCAGAGCGUGUGGGCUAAGCCGCACGCUCAAAAGGGAAACAGCCCAGACCGCCCGCUAAGGCCCCCAAGUCCAUGCUCAGUGGCAAAGGAUGUGCGCCUGCCUAGACAACCAGGAUGUUGGCUUAGAAGCAGCCAUGCAUUUAAAGAGUGCGUAACAGCUCACUGGUCAAGUGGACAUGCGCCGACAAUUCACGGGGCUCAAGCAUGGCGCCGAAGCGGCGGGCUUAAAGAGGUUUUCUUUAAGCGGUAGGGGAGCGUUGCCAACAGCGAUGAAGCGCAAGGGCGAUCUUGCGUGGAGUGUUGGCAAGUGAGAAUGCUGGCAUGAGUAGCGACAAGCGGCGUGAGAAACGCCGCCGCCGUAAGCCUAAGGUUUCCUGGGGAAGGCUAAUCCCCCCAGGGUCAGUCGGGAGCUAAGGUGAGGCAGACAUGCGCAACCGAUGCACGACAGGUCGAUAUUCCUGUACCAUCUCGUGUCGUUUUAUCCAAUGAGGCGACGGAGGAGGAUAGGCGGGCGGGGUUCUGGACGUCCCCGUGAAAGCGUGUAGGGUGUUCUGGCAGGCAAAUCCGCGAGAACAUAUGCCUGAGACGCGAGACGAAGCCAUUUUGGCAAAGCCGCCAAGUCCAUGCUCCCAAGAAAAACCCCUAGGGAGACACGAGGUGCCCGUACCAAAACCGACACAGGUAGGCGGGUAGAGCAUACCGAGGCGAUCGGGAGAACCAUGGUUAAGGAACUCGGCAUACUAGCCCCGUAACUUCGGGAGAAGGGGCGCCUUUCCUCGUGAAGCUUUUCACAAGUCCAAGCGAGGGGAGGCCGCAGUGAAGAGGCCCAAGCGACUGUUUACCAAAAACACAGGACUCUGCCAAGCCGCAAGGCGAAGUAUAGGGUCUGACGCCUGCCCGGUGCCGGAAGGUCACGCGGAUGCGUUAGGGUGUAUACCCGAAGCGCUGAAGCUAAGCCCCGGUAAACGGCGGCCGUAACUAUAACGGUCCUAAGGUAGCGAAAUUCCUUGUCGGGUAAGUUCCGACCUGCACGAAUGGCGUAACGACUUGGGCGCUGUCUCAACCAUGGACCCGGUGAAAUUGCAUUAUUCGUGAAGAUGCGAAUUACCCGCGGAAGGACGGAAAGACCCCGUGAACCUUUACUGCAGCUUGGCAUUGGGCGCAGGCGCGGUGCGUAGAGGAUAGGCAGGAGGCUAUGAAACCUAGGCGCAAGCCUGGGUGGAGCUGACCUUGGAAUACUGCCCUCAUCGCGCCGGCGUCCUAACGCAGGCCCCUUUAACGGGUCGUGCGGACCGUGUCAGGUAGGCAGUUUGACUGGGGCGGUCACCUCCUAAAGAGUAACGGAGGUGCGCGUAAGGUCCGCUCAGGAUGGUUGGCAAUCAUCCUUUUGAGUGCAAGAGCAUAAGCGGGCUUGACUGCGAGGCCUACAAGCCGAGCAGGUGGGAAACCAGGUUCUAGUGAUCCGGCGGCACAGCGUGGAAUGGCCGUCGCUCAACGGAUAAAAGGUACUCCGGGGAUAACAGGCUGAUCUUGCCCAAGAGUCCACAUCGACGGCAAGGUUUGGCACCUCGAUGUCGGCUCAUCGCAUCCUGGGGCUGGAGUCGGUCCCAAGGGUAUGGCUGUUCGCCAUUUAAAGCGGUACGCGAGCUGGGUUCAGAACGUCGUGAGACAGUUCGGUCCCUAUCCUCCGCGGGCGCAAGAGGAUUGAGGAGAUCUGCCCCUAGUACGAGAGGACCGGGGUGGACGGACCUCCGGUGCAGCGGUUGUCGACCAACGGCACUGCCGCGUAGCCGCGUCCGGAACGGAUAACCGCUGAAAGCAUCUAAGCGGGAAGCCGUCUCCAAGAUGAGUCCUCUUUUUGGUAAGGGCACUGGUAGACUACCAGUUUGAUAGGCUGCAGCUGUACGCACAGCAAUGUGUUUUUAGGCAAGCGGUACUAAUAGCCCGAGCUCUUCAUCAU